CCUGGUGUUGACAAUAGUAAGUGACUCUGGAGUUAAUAUUGACAGCUGGCACUAUUUACAUGGUAUGAACCAAUAGGUGAUUGAGACUAUAUGCUACCCAUGCAUCAAUCUCCUUGCUUGCUGUUAAAAGCAGCCAUUGACAUGACUUUCUAUAAGCAAGACGCAUAAAGAUGGAUUAGCGCUAAAAAUUCAAACAACUGAUAACUUUAGGCAUCAAACACUCUACACAAG
This is a non-coding RNA of Pelobates cultripes (western spadefoot toad), 231 nucleotides long. The record is from the annotation of a GenBank genome assembly. NCBI's taxonomy places the organism in Eukaryota, Metazoa, Chordata, Amphibia, Anura, Pelobatidae.